RNAcentral lists this unclassified non-coding RNA (302 nucleotides) under uncultured fungus. RNAcentral describes it as "sequence contains ITS1". The stretch from base 1 to 105 matches the Rfam family "5.8S ribosomal RNA", at positions 50 to 154 of the family's 154-position model. The record is from RNAcentral. Lineage: Eukaryota; Fungi.
GAAAUGCGUUACCUAGUGUGACCUGCAUUCACUCGUGAAUCACCGACAUCUUGAACGUAACUGACGGGCUGGGUUCAUUCCCGGCUCAAUCACGACCGAGUGUCAAUCUUAACCACAAAACUGAGUUCUUCGGUAAAUUUUUUUUCACCGUAACUUUAAACUUAACCGUUCUCACUUAACGUAUUAUCGGUAUUUUUACCCGUAUUAAGUUAAGCGAUAACUUUAUCGUACACACAAUAUGGAUUACCGUAUUACUCGGUAACAUUUGACCUCGACCGUGAUAGACUACCCGCUGAAUUUAA